CCUACGGGUGGCAGCAGUGGGGAAUAUUGCACAAUGGGGGAAACCCUGAUGCAGCAACGCCGCGUGAGCGAAGAAGGCCUUCGGGUCGUAAAGCUCUGUCCUAAGGGAAGAAAAAUGAAGGUACCUUAGGAGGAAGCCCCGGCUAACUACGUGCCAGCAGCCGCGGGAAUACGUAGGGGGCGAGCGUUAUCCGGAAGCACUGGGCGGAAAGGGUGCGCAGGCGGCCACUUAAGCCAGGGGUGUAAGGCUACGGCUCAACCGUAGUAAGCCUUUGGAACUGAAUGGCUUGAGUGCAGGAGAGGGGAGUGGACUUCCUUGUGUAGCGGUGAAAUGCGUCGAUAUUAGGAGGAACUCCAGUGGCGAAGGCGACUCUCUGGACUGUAACUGACGCUGAGGCACGAAAGCGUGGGGAGCAACCAGGAUUAGAUACCCUAGUAGUC
Molecule: ribosomal RNA, 440 nt
Filed under: uncultured bacterium
Lineage: Bacteria
Description: bacterial SSU rRNA
Rfam family: Bacterial small subunit ribosomal RNA
Source: RNAcentral